CCUUUGUACACACCGCCCGUCGCUACUACCGAUUGAAUGGCUCAGUGAGGCCUUGGGACUGGCUCAGAGAGGUCGGCAACGACCACUCAGAGCCGGAAACUUGUUCAAACUUGGUCAUUUAGAGG
RNAcentral lists this ribosomal RNA (125 nucleotides) under Chaetothyriales sp. Its description in RNAcentral is "partial small subunit ribosomal RNA". It matches the Rfam family "Eukaryotic small subunit ribosomal RNA", at positions 1657 to 1779 of the family's 1831-position model. The record is from RNAcentral. Lineage: Eukaryota; Fungi; Ascomycota; Eurotiomycetes; Chaetothyriales.